Molecule: ribosomal RNA, 582 nt
Filed under: Benthocodon pedunculatus
Lineage: Eukaryota; Metazoa; Cnidaria; Hydrozoa; Trachymedusae; Rhopalonematidae
Description: partial large subunit ribosomal RNA
Rfam family: Bacterial large subunit ribosomal RNA
Source: RNAcentral
GUUUACCAAAAACAUAGCCCUAUUUAAAUAAACUUUAAGGUGAUGCCUGGUCAGUGAAUUUAUUUAAACACACGUCUUAGCGUGAGGAUGAUAAUGUAUCAUAAUAAAUUGGCAUUUAAUUGAUGUCUGGAAGGAAUGGUAAUAUAAUUUUAACUUUGUCUCAUUUAUAUAUUUUAAAAAAUUUAAAUAACAGUUAAGAUGCUGUUUAAAAUUUAUAAGACGAGAAGACCCCAGAACCUUUACUAUAAAAAUAAUUUUUUUCAAUCAUAAAUUAAUAGUUUAACUGGGACGGUUAUCUUUUACAAAAACAAAGAGAAUUUUAUAAAAAUGAAAUGUUAACACUAACUUUCAAAAUUCGUUUAUUAUAAUAAAUUAACAAUAAAAAUACUUGAAAUUAUGAUCAUUUGAUUAAUAUAAUUGAAAAGGUACUCUGGGGAUAACAGCGUUAUCUAAAAAAAAAGAUGAUAUUAAAUUUUAGGUUUGCGACCUCGAUGUUGAAUUGGGAUAUCCAUAAAAUAGUAAAAGUUUUAAAGGGUUAGAUUGUUCAUCUAUUAAAAUCUUACAUGAUUUGAGUUCAUUCCG